CCUAGCGCAGGAAGCAGAAGUGGCCCAUCUGGCCUGCCUUCUCUCCCGGGGCACGCUGGGAAACGUAAUUCUCUCUCGGGGUCGUGCUCGGCCUUCUACUGGCGGAGGGGUAGCAUGCUCAUCAGUGCGCCGACCCCGCUCCCUGAUUGGCGGCCGCUCGUUUCCCCGCCUGAUGGCGGGUAGGGGAGGAUAUUAGGGUUGAGCUUCCUGGGUCAGACACUGCUGCCUCCAUUGUGAUCUGGGAGCCAAGGCUGAGCAGCUCCUGUUCGCUGGUGGGAUCUGGGCUGGGGAGUGACUGUGAGUAAAGCUUCCUCUGUGCCCAGCCAAGGUGAGGACUUUCUCCAGCUGCAAUUACCUCAUAGGCUACAGCAUAACAUCCCAUCCUUCUGGAGGACGUGGAAGGGAAAUGGCUGCUGUGGAGCCAGUUCAGGGGCUGGUGACCUUCAAGGAGGUGGCUGUGUAUUUCACCAAAGAAGAGUGGGCUCUGCUGGACCCUCCUCAGAAAGCCAUCUACAGAGACGUCAUGCAGGAGAACUAUGAGAAUGUGACCUCGCUGGGUAAGGAUUCCAUUCUCCUCAGUUAUUAGAAGGGGAAAUGAAGAAUUAAGAUUCACAACACCCCACAAUGCAAUCUCAACUCUGUCCUGUUUCAGCAACACACUGACAGGCCAAUGACACACAGACUAGCACUCUACCCUCCCAACUACAGAACACUUUGGGAACAGAAGCUACCUAUCCUUGGCCUGCACUCAAACACUGAGCCUACUGCACACAGUCCAUCUCUGACUUUCAUAAUGUCACCACCCCUUUACCUUUGCAGUGAGGAUUCCUUCUGAGUCCCUGCCUUCACUUACCACUUACUGAGCCUUGGAGACCACUAGCAUGUAUGACACCAGACAGCUGAUAACCCUCGUGGCAAGAACACACCCUUGUGCACCUUUAUUGACACUAUCUACAACACUCAGCACUGAAAUGAGUUUCCUUCAAGUUUCACAUGCACCUCUCUUCAUAUCACAGUCACAGCUCUGCCAAGCUGCUCUAACAAAUCCCUCUGCUGUUCAUGUAAAGCCACUACUGACACAGUGCACACAACUGGAGUGCAUGCGGAUAAAUGUUUGUAUUCAGAUUUGUAGAACACAUUAACAAUGGCAUGUUUUUAGUCCUUUCUUCCACUGAUUAUUGAUCAAUAGAUUUUAAGGCCAGGAGAAACUGUUAGGUCAUCUAGUCUGACCUGCUGUGUAAUACAGGCCAUGGAGUUUCAUCCAGUUACUGUUGUAGUGAGCCGAAUACCUUGUGUUUGAUGAAAACAUCUCCCAGAAAGGCAUCCUGUCCUGAUUUGAAGACUUCAUAAGAUGGAAAAUUUGCCACUUCCUUGCGUAAUUUGUUAAUCUUUGCACCACCCUUACUGACCUAUUCCCAGUGAUAUUUGCUGGGUCCAGGGUUGGGGGUAGGAGCAGAGUUAAGGUUGCAUUGCAGGGGUGGUGUGUAGUUUAGUCCUUCAUUUCCUGAUUUUCAGAGGUUUUAACUUUUGCCACCAACCACAUGCUUGGAAAGGCAUGCGGCAGCACUGGGCAACCUUAACUGUGCUUUAAUGUUGUUUAUGGGUAUUUAAUUUCUUUGAUUUCUUUUUAAUAGACUUUUUUGCACUUUUGCCGGCAAGCCGUGUCAGGUGGGGAUGUGAUUUUUUUCACACCACUAACCAGCCGAUCUAUGCUGGCAAAACUCUUAAUUAGUGACGAGUCCAAUAUCUCUGUGUAGAUUUGAGAGCACUUUAAAAUAUUGUUCUUAAUACAGAAAUGUUGGUAUCAGGGCAAAACUUCCAAGAGAAACUCCUACAGAAUGUAAGCAUAAUACACAACACACAUUGUCUGACAGUUGGCAGUGAUAGGGCUCAGACUUGGAUGCAUGGUGUAGCUCAGGUUCAAUGGCCAUGGCAUGUCCUUUUGUGCCAACCAAUUACUGUGACAGCAGAUUGCUGGAAACCCUGUGGGUGUAAUCUUGCUGCACAUGUGAAUUUCAAUCCCUUAGACUCGUCAUUUGAUGAUAGUAGUGAGGAGGGCUUUAGGUUUAUUAGAAACUGGGAAAUCUUUUCAGAAAGGAGGAGCCUGUACAGGAAGGAUGGACUCCACCUAAGCCAAAAUGAAACCAGACUUCUGGCAUGUGAAAUUAAAAAGUUCAUAGAGGAGAUUUUAAACUAAGUGCUGGGGGAAAGGCAACUAGGUGUAGAGGAACAUAUGGUUCGGAAAGAGCAAUCCCUUAGGAGAGGAUCUCUUCAUGGGGAUUCUCUAUAUCCUAAUAAAGAGGAGAGAUAGUAGCUGAAGAGAAACGGUCAAAUGAAAGAGUCCUGUUCAAUUACAUCACAUGAAGGCAGACAACUAAAUAUUCACAAAUUUUAUAAGUUUUUGUAUAGAAACGCAAGAAGGCUAAAUACUAAGAUGGGUGAACUUGACUGUCUGGUUUUAAAUAAGGAUAUUGGUGUAAUAAGCAUCACAGAAACUUGGUGGAAUGAUAAUCAAUGGGACAUGGUAAUAUCAAGAAAUGACAGAGUAGGUUGUGCUGGUGGGAGAGUGGCACUAUAUGUGAAAGAAAACCUAGAAUCAAAUAUAGUAAAAAAUGUUAAAUGAAUCAAACUGUGCCAUAGAAUCUCUGAUAGAAAUUCCAUGCUUGAAUAAUAAGAGUAUAACAGUAGGAAUAUACUACUGACCACCUGGCCAGGAUGGUGAUGGUGUUUAUGAAAUGUUCAGUGAGAUUAGAGAGACUAUUAAAAAUAGAACACAAUAAUAAUUGGGAAUUUCAACUAUCCCCAUAUUGACUGGGUACAUGUCACUUCAGGACAGAAUGCAGAGAGAAAGUUUUUAGACACCAGUAAUGACUGCUUAUUGGAGCAGCUAGUCCUGGAACCCACAAGGGGAGAGGCAAUUCUUGGUUUAGUCCUAAGAGGCGCACAGGAUCUGGUCCAAAAGGUGAAUACAGCUGAAUCACUUGGUAAUAGAGAUCAUAAUGUAAUUAAAUUUAACAUGCUUGUGAGGGGGAAAAUACCAAAGAAGCCCACGACAGUAGCAUUUAACUUCAGAAAGGGGAACUACACAAAGUGAGAAAGCUAGGUACAUGGAAAUGAAAAGGAGCACUCACAAAAGUGAAAUGCCUGUAAGCUGCAUGGAAACUUUUUAAAAACACUAUAAUAGAGGCUCAAAAUAAAUGUGUACACCAAAUUCAGCGGGGGGGGGGCGGGCAGGGAAACAGUAAAAGGACUAAAAAAAUGCCACCAUGGCUAAACAACAGAGUAAAUAAGGCAGGUAGAGGCAAAAAGGCAUCCUUUAAAAAUUGGAAGUCAAACCCUACUGAGGAAAAUAGAAAGGAGCAUAAACUCUGAGAAGUCAAGUAUAAAAAGUAUAAUUAGGCAGGCCAAAAAAAGAAUUUGAAGAGCAACUAGCAAAAGUCACAAAAACUAACACCAUUUUUUUAAAGCACAUCAGAAGCAGGAACCCUGCCAAACCAUCAGUGAGGCCACUGGGCGACUGAGAUGCUAAACGAACACUCAAGGAAGCCAA
Molecule: RNA transcript, 3550 nt
Organism: Dermochelys coriacea (leatherback sea turtle)
Lineage: Eukaryota; Metazoa; Chordata; Testudines; Dermochelyidae
Gene name: zinc finger protein 558-like
Exons: 4
Source: RefSeq, a predicted model, not a curated record